RNAcentral lists this ribosomal RNA (448 nucleotides) under uncultured bacterium. RNAcentral describes it as "bacterial SSU rRNA". It matches the Rfam family "Bacterial small subunit ribosomal RNA", at positions 29 to 524 of the family's 1533-position model. The record is from RNAcentral.
AACGAACGCUGGCGGCAGGCCUAACACAUGCAAGUCGAACGCCGUAGCAAUACGGAGUGGCAGACGGGUGAGUAACACGUGGGAACGUACCCUUCGGUUCGGAAUAACUCAGGGAAACUUGAGCUAAUACCGGAUACGUCCGAGAGGAGAAAGAUUUAUCGCCGAGGGAUCGGCCCGCGUCUGAUUAGCUUGUUGGUGAGGUAACGGCUCACCAAGGCGACGAUCAGUAGCUGGUCGAGAGGAUGAUCAGCCACAUUGGGACUGAGACACGGCCCAAACUCCUACGGGAGGCAGCAGUGGGGAAUAUUGGACAAUGGGCGCAAGCCUGAUCCAGCCAUGCCGCGUGAGUGAUGAAGGCCCUAGGGUUGUAAAGCUCUUUUACCCGGGAAGAUAAUGACUGUACCGGGAGAAUAAGCCCCGCUAACUUCGUGCCAGCCGCCGCCGUAAU